CCUGGCGGCAAUAGCGCGGUGGUCCCACCUGACCCCAUGCCGAACUCAGAAGUGAAACGCCGUAGCGCCGAUGGUAGUGUGGGGUCUCCCCAUGCGAGAGUAGGACACUGCCAGGCAU
This 118-nucleotide ribosomal RNA is filed under the name Yersinia bercovieri. The record is from RNAcentral. Lineage: Bacteria; Pseudomonadati; Pseudomonadota; Gammaproteobacteria; Enterobacterales; Yersiniaceae.